GGGCCCUUAGUGUAGCUUGGGCAGUCUAACGCUGGAGCAACUAUCACAUCAGCUCGGGGAGCUGGUAACCGGAGUUCAAAUCUCCGAGGGCCCG
Molecule: transfer RNA, 94 nt
Filed under: Candidatus Woesearchaeota archaeon
Lineage: Archaea; Nanobdellati; Candidatus Woesearchaeota
Description: tRNA-Pro
Source: RNAcentral